Long non-coding RNA from Salvelinus namaycush (lake trout), 2457 nucleotides. RefSeq lists it as uncharacterized. The transcript has 3 exons. The record is from RefSeq and is a predicted model, not a curated record. Lineage: Eukaryota; Metazoa; Chordata; Actinopteri; Salmoniformes; Salmonidae.
UAGCUGUUAUGACACGGUUAUGACCGUGUCAUAGGGUGUUAUGACACUGGGUGUCAAGUAAAGUGUUACCAAUGUCGCUCCUUUCUUCUCUCUUUUUCUCCUUUUUUUAGUCCCCCUCUCUAUGACGUAUCGUUUCACAGCUGGAGUUUUUCAUGUCAUCUUGGGUCAUCUUGUCUCCAGCUCAGCCUAAGAGGAUUUGGGCUACUUCUCACUCCCCAGUGAGCCAGUCUCCCAGCCUACCCAGCCAUCUGCCCAGGUCAGCGAUGCCCUACUGUCCCUUCCAGAGAAGUAUGACGGUACUUCAUCGAAAUGAUGUGGCUUCCUACUCCAGUGCUCCCUCUAUUUCGCCCAUCAGACGGGAGCCCCCACCACCGAGAGGUCCAAGGUUGCCACUGUCAUUUCCCUGCUAACCGGGCGGGCGUUGGAGUGGGCUACGGCUGUCUGGGAGAGAAGAGAGGAGGAGGUGGCUCUGGUUCAUGGCUCUGUUCAGAGCGGUCUUCAACCAUCCUCCAGAGGCCAGAGAGGGAGGUGAGCGACUUCUCCAACUCCAGCAGGGUGCCCAGACUGCUGCAAAGUACGCCCUCACCUUUUGUACUGUGGCAGCCUCCAGCGGAUGGAAUGAGCCUGCGAUCCGCACUCUCUUCCAGAGAGAAAUGGCAUGUCGGGACAGAGGUGGCGUGUCGGGAUGACAACCUAUCCACUCACCACGAUGGCCAUUCGUCUGGAUAUCCUUCUUCGGGAGCCACGGUGCCCACCUCGCCACUCGUCUCCCUUCUUUGGCUGUCCUGAGGCAGAGCCUGAACCCGUGGAUAUAGGAGCCACAUACCUCUCCCAGGCAGAGCGGCGUCGCCGGAGACUGCUGGGGCUCUAUCCCUAUUGCGGCCACGAGGGGCACCAGCUUAAGUGGUGUCCGGUGCGUCCCUGGAAUUUCAUCAACCAGGCCCUCACCUCCUCCCUGAACAUAACUUUGUACCUCUCCUUUCCUUUUCCGGUGCAAGCCCUGGAUAAGCGACCAUUGGGAUCCGGCACAAUCACGCACAUCACAGCACCACUCACCCUCACUGUGGUACCCAUGCACCAGGAAAACCUUCCCUUCCUCAUCAUCACUGCACUCGUAUACAAAGUCAUCCUCGGCUUCCCUUGGCUCCAACGUCAUAACCCUACCAUCUCCUGGUCGAGGAUUAAAAUCACCUCAUGAGGUCCAUGAUGCCGGAAGACCAGCACAACGAAGAAACGACAGGCAGAAGGACCAGGCCGCAGCAUUGUCACAGAGGUGAUGGAAGAUUUCAUCAAGCAGCUGAGGGACAACUUCUCCACCAGAUUUGAAGACUACAGCAUGCCCAAGGAUAUCAUUGUCUUUGUACGUGAUCCUCUCACAGUCUGCCCAGGUGGAGAACUCGAUACCCUCCCUGGAUAAGGCCGCAAUUCAAACUGAGCUGAUUAAAUUCCAGACAUUGAGCCAAAUCAGGGAUGCGCACAGGAUUGCUGAGUCCUCGUGUGCGUUUUGGGUGGCAUGCUCAGCGGAAUACAGCACAAAUAGGGAAACUUGCAUUUUAUGUGCUAACAAUGUUUGGAUCGACUUAUGAUACUUACGAUACUGCGAGUCCUCCUUUUCCUCUAUGAAUGCAAUCAAGACUCAUGACAGGAACUGUCUUUCACAUAACUCAAUUGAGGACUGCCUGCACAUCAAAAUCACAUCCUUCUCACCCGACAUCCACAAGAUCGUGAACGAAGGGAAACGCAACUUUUCCCAUUAAGAGCAGGCUAUUCCCGAGACUACUGAUACAGACAUUCAGACACACAUCACCUUUUUUUCUUUAAAUCAUUGUUCAUGUCGGUUGUUACAUUUUUGACCAGUUGCAAUUGUGAGUAGGCCUAAUUAAAAAAAAUCCCACUUCUAUUAGACCAUAUUUUUUUAUUGUGAAAGAUACUGCUAAGACACAUAGCCUAUCUCAGUGUAACGCUCAAAGAGUGAAUGGGUGUGGAGUCAGGCGCAGGGAGCAGAGGAUACGGGAAAAAACACGCUUUAAUGUCCAACCAAAAACGUACAAGAGGUGACGCCGAACACAGGCGUAAUACACUCCAACUAAGUACACACUGGUAUCUAACCGGACAGCGGAAAACCCACAAUAAUAAAGAACACCUCUUACAUAACAGAAACAAGCCCGCACAAACACAAGCGGGCUAAUCGAACUUAAAUAACACCAACCCAACAACCCCAACAAGGAACAGGUGAAAACAAUUAGACAAAACCAAACGAAAAGGGAAAAAGGGAUCGGUGGCAGCUAGUAGACCGGUGACGACGAGCGCCACCCGAACGGGAAGGGGAGCCACCUUCGGUGAUAUUCGUGACACUCAGCCAGUUAAGUUAUAUAGGCUCGUAAAAAAUAUACUCCAAUUAAGCCCUCUUUUUGUUUGUAAAGUCAAAUUAAAAUGAAGAUUAUUGUUAAAAUGAGU